GCCGAGGGAAGGCACUGCCCGCUCAGUGAGACAUAGGUUGGGGAAAAGCCGCGUCUGUGAGGCGGGGUCUCAAGGCACGUGACCGCUGUCCGACCGGAAGUGGGGGCGUGGCCGCUGCGCGAGGGGGCCUGCCGAGCGCACGAGGCUGCUGUCCGUCAAGAAGGCCGGGUCGCGACCCCGCCCUCUAAAGGGGUCUUGGGCCCCGGACCUUUAUCGUCUGGGUGACGGCCGCUGAGGCGCAGGUGCGGCUGCCGAGUGCCCGCUGUCAGAUUUUGGUACCUGACGGAAGAGAGACGUGGCUCUUCCAACACCUCACCCAACCGUCGAGAUGCACUGGCAGCCCACCCACCACCCCCGUAAUAGCCGUGGUGUGCAGCAUUGACUGUGACUGAGCACCUUUACAUGAUCGGGAUGUAGAACACUCAGCUACUGCUCCAGCACCAUGCCUGCCUGUAUGCUGCCAUGCUCUCCACCAUGAUGGUCAUGGACUAACUGUCUGAAACUAUAAGCAAGCCCCCAAUUAAAUAUUUUCUUUUAUAAGAA
Peromyscus eremicus (cactus mouse) is the source of this 543-nucleotide long non-coding RNA. RefSeq lists it as uncharacterized. The transcript has 2 exons. The record is from RefSeq and is a predicted model, not a curated record. Lineage: Eukaryota; Metazoa; Chordata; Mammalia; Rodentia; Cricetidae.